RNAcentral lists this ribosomal RNA (504 nucleotides) under uncultured bacterium. Its description in RNAcentral is "partial 16S ribosomal RNA". It matches the Rfam family "Bacterial small subunit ribosomal RNA", at positions 30 to 526 of the family's 1533-position model. The record is from RNAcentral.
AUUGAACGCUGGCGGCAGGCCUAACACAUGCAAGUCGAACGGUAGCACAGAGAGCUUGCUCUCGGGUGACGAGUGGCGGACGGGUGAGUAAUGUCUGGGAAACUGCCCGAUGGAGGGGGACAACUACUGGAAACGGUAGCUAAUACCGCAUAACGUCGCAAGACCAAAGUGGGGGACCUUCGGGCCUCACACCAUCGGAUGUGCCCAGAUGGGAUUAGCUAGUAGGUGGGGUAAUGGCUCACCUAGGCGACGAUCCCUAGCUGGUCUGAGAGGAUGACCAGCCACACUGGAACUGAGACACGGUCCAGACUCCUACGGGAGGCAGCAGUGGGGAAUAUUGCACAAUGGGCGCAAGCCUGAUGCAGCCAUGCCGCGUGUAUGAAGAAGGCCUUCGGGUUGUAAAGUACUUUCAGCGGGGAGGAAGGCGGUGGAGUUAAUAACUUCACCGAUUGACGUUACCCGCAGAAGAAGCACCGGCUAACUCCGUGCCAGCCGCCGUAACAC